Molecule: ribosomal RNA, 2472 nt
Filed under: Triticum aestivum (bread wheat)
Lineage: Eukaryota; Viridiplantae; Streptophyta; Magnoliopsida; Poales; Poaceae
Description: partial small subunit ribosomal RNA
Source: RNAcentral
AUGGAGCGUCUUCUAAAUGAGAAACCCAAUUAUUCUUUUUUACGCAUUUUUGGGUGUGCGGUAUGGCCCAAUCUUCGUCCCUACAAUCAACACAAACUUCAAUUUCGUUUCAAACAGUGUGUUUUUCUAGGCUAUAGUGGCCUUCAUAAAGGGUAUAAGUGUCUCGAUGUCACCACUGGUCGAGUUUAUAUAUCCAGAGAUGUUGUUUUUGAUGAAUCCAUUUUCCCUUUUUCGAAUCUUCAUCCUAAUGCCGGCGCACAACUUCGAGCAGAAAUCUUUCUAUUACCACAAAAUCUCCUCAGUCCAUUCACUCCUUUAGAUCAUGGGAAUAAUGAGCGUAAUGAUCAUUUGUCAAUUUCCAAUACUGUUGAUGCUCACAGUUUCGAAAACAGUGCUUUUGGAAAUGAUUUUAUGCAGGAUGAAAUAGCCACAACAGGUCAGGGCACGGCAAGCCAGGCGGACUCACCUGGCCUCACGGGAUCCGGCGCUUCCCUGGAUGGCAGCGGAUCUGCCACGGGAUCUGUACCUGGCACCCUGACGCGGCGGGAGCCCCUAGAAACUGCUCCUCGCGCCUCGUGCGGGUCGGCCCAGGAGCGAACGGCCCCCGCUUCGCCAGGUGGGCACCCCCGAGUGGAGGACGCGGUCGAUUCCGCGUGCGCUGCUGGUGGCUCACCAAGUGGUGGCCUAUCAAUGGAAGUGGGCUGCCCCGAUUCACCCGCCGCGUCGGCCCAUGAUGCUCCUGCGGAUUCACGAUCCGAGACGGAUCGAUCGGCCCCUGAUGCUGCAGCGGGCGCCGGAUCUUCUGCGAAUUUUGUGCCACAGCCACGCCAACCUUCUCAGCUGCCUUCACAAGCACAUACACGGUCAAAAAGUGGUAUUUUUCGCCCUAAAGAAUAUAAGGAUGGCUGUAUUCGUUGGGCUGGUUUCUGCAGUACAGGAGAACCUGACACUCUACAAGAGGCUUUUGGUGAUGCAAAGUGGAGAGAGGCUAUGGAUGCUGAAUAUCUUGCUCUCAUGAAAAAUGAGACAUGGCAUCUUGUUCCGUUUCAGAGAGGACUUAACAUUAUUGACUGUAAGUGGGUAUAUAAAGUUAAGCGCAAAUCUGAUGGUACUAUUGACAGGUACAAAGCACACUUAGUUGCUAAAGGCUCCAAGCAUCGUUAUGGCAUUGACUACGAGGACACCUUUAGUCCUGUAGUGAAGGCAGCGACGAUCAGGUUAAUUCUGUCUGUUGCUGUGUCAAAAGGGUGGUGUAUGCGGCAAUUGGAUGUGCAGAAUGCGUUCCUUCAUGGUGUUCUGGAAGAGGAGGUCUAUAUGAGGCAACCACCAGGGUAUGAGGAUCUCAAGAAACCUGGUUUUCUGUGUAAGUUAGACAAAACACUAUAUGGGUUGAAACAGGCACCACGUGCAUGGUACUCUCGUCCAUCCACCAAAGUACAGUCACUUGGUUUUACUCCUUCAAAGGCAGAUACCUCUCUAUUCUUCUAUAGCAGAAAUGGAAUAACCAUAUUUAUGCUUAUUUAUGUUAAUGAUAUUAUUGUCACAAGCUCAUGCUCAGAGGCAGUCGAAGCACUACUCCGUGAUCUGCGUGGAGAUUUCUCACUGAAGGAUCUGGGAGACUUGCAUUACUUCUUGGGAAUAGAGGUAACAUCAGUACACAACGGAAUUAUUUUGUCUCAAGGAAAAUAUAUUGCAGACAUAAUAAAGAGAGCUGGCAUGAAGGAUUGUAAGCCAGUCACUACACCAUUAUCUACAUUAGAGAAAUUGUCCUUGGCAGAGGGCGAGCUACUCGGGGGAGAAGAUUCUACCAGGUACAGGAGCAUAGUUGGUGCGCUGCAAUAUUUAACACUAACUAGACCUGAUAUAUCAUUCUCAGUAAAUAAGGUGUGCCAUUUUUUGCAUGCUCCCACUACGGUUCAUUGGUCAACAGUGAAGAGAAUUAUUCGGUAUCUCAGAUAUACAUCUUCUGUUGGGCUAAAACUUGUGAAGUCAGACUCAUCUCUUGUUAGUGCUUUUUCUGAUGCUGAUUGGGCAGGUUGUCCUGAUGACAGAAGGUCCACUGGAGGUUUUGCUAUAUUUUUUGGAUGCAAUCUUGUUUCAUGGACUGCACGGAAGCAGCCCACAGUAUCAAGAUCUAGCACAGAAGCAGAAUAUAAGUCCCUUGCAAAUGCAACAGCAGAGGUAAUUUGGGUACAAUCAUUGCUAAAGGAACUUGGUAUUUGCCAAUCACGAGCAGCAACAUUGUGGUGUGAUAAUCUUGGUGCCACUUAUUUGUCAGCAAAUCCUGUGUUUCAUGCUAGAACUAAACAUAUUGAAGUGGACUAUCACUUUGUCAGAGAAAGAGUAGCAAAUAAGUUACUAAACAUUCGGUUCAUACCGACAGGAGAUCAAGUUGCAGAUGGGUUUACGAAGCCUUUGACAGUGAGGCAGCAAGAAGCUUUUUGGCGUAAUCUCAACUUAGAUAAGUUGUGA